Molecule: ribosomal RNA, 253 nt
Filed under: uncultured bacterium
Lineage: Bacteria
Description: partial 16S ribosomal RNA
Rfam family: Bacterial small subunit ribosomal RNA
Source: RNAcentral
UACGAAGGGGGCUAGCGUUGUUCGGAAUUACUGGGCGUAAAGCGCACGUAGGCGGGUCUGUGAGUCGGGGGUGAAAUCCCAGGGCUCAACCCUGGAACUGCCUUCUAGACUGCAGGCCUCGAGGUCAGGAGAGGCGAGUGGAAUACCGAGUGUAGAGGUGAAAUUCGUAGAUAUUCGGUGGAACACCAGUGGCGAAGGCGACUCGCUGGACUGAUACUGACGCUGAGGUGCGAAAGCGUGGGGAGCAAACAGG